Molecule: non-coding RNA, 99 nt
Organism: Mustela putorius furo (domestic ferret)
Lineage: Eukaryota; Metazoa; Chordata; Mammalia; Carnivora; Mustelidae
Source: Rfam
AGCUUCCUGUAGCUCCUCAGCAUGAUGACUGGGUGCUCACGCCCUUCACCUGCGCCUCCCCCAAGCCUCGGUACGACCUCUCCCGUUGCCCGUCUGAUG